RNAcentral lists this transfer RNA (53 nucleotides) under Coregonus fontanae. RNAcentral's name for it is "partial tRNA-Gln". The record is from RNAcentral. Lineage: Eukaryota; Metazoa; Chordata; Actinopteri; Salmoniformes; Salmonidae.
AGUUUUGAUCUCUUGAGGAUGGGUUCGAGCCCCUUCUCUCUAGAAUUGAGGGG